UUGGAGGGCAAGUCUGGUGCCAGCAGCCGCGGUAAUUCCAGCUCCAAUAGCGUAUAUUAAAGUUGUUGCAGUUAAAAAGUUCGUAGUUGAAUUUCGGGUUAGUAGGCUGGUUAUAUGGAACUCGCGUCUGCAGGUUUAUGUAACUGGUCUUACUAAUUCCUCCUUCCUGAUGAACUGUAGUGCCAUUAAUUUGGUGUUGCAGGGAAUCUGGACUGUUACUUUGAAAAAUUAGAGUGUUUAAAGCAGGCUAACGCUUGAAUACAUUAGCAUGGAAUAAUGAAAUAGGACGUUCGAUCCUAUUUUGUUGGUUUCUAGGAUUGACGUAAUGAUUAAUAGGGAUAGUUGGGGGCAUUAGUAUUCAAUUGUCAGAGGUGAAAUUCUUGGAUUUAUUGAAGACUAACUACUGCGAAAGCAUUUGCCAAGGAUGUUUUCAUUAAUCAAGAACGAAAGUUAGGGGAUCGAAGACGAUCAGAUACCGUCGUAGUCUUAACCAUAAACUAUGCCGACUAGGGAUCGGAUGAUGUUAAUUUUUAAUGUACUC
Molecule: ribosomal RNA, 541 nt
Filed under: Glomus sp.
Lineage: Eukaryota; Fungi; Glomeromycota; Glomeromycetes; Glomerales; Glomeraceae
Description: SSU rRNA
Rfam family: Eukaryotic small subunit ribosomal RNA
Source: RNAcentral